Molecule: long non-coding RNA, 1533 nt
Filed under: Papio anubis (olive baboon)
Lineage: Eukaryota; Metazoa; Chordata; Mammalia; Primates; Cercopithecidae
Description: lncRNA (ENSPANG00000044732.1)
Source: RNAcentral
AUGCACCACACACCACACACGCACCUCACACACACCACACACACCACACACGCACCACAUACCCCCCACCGCACACACCGCACACCUCACACACACACCACACACCACACACACAUACACAUCACACACCACACAGACCACACACACACCACAGACACCACACACACCACACACACCCCACAUACCACACACACGCCACACAUCAUUAAUAAUAAUUCCCCAAUAACCUCACACACCACACACGCACCACACACACACUACACCCCACACACACCACACAUGCACCACACACCACACACGCACCACACACGCACCUCACACACACACACCACACACACUCCACAUACCCCCACCCACACACCGAGACACCACACAAUACACCACACACAUACACAUCACACACCACACAGACCACACACACCCACACACACCACCAGACACCACACACCACACACACCCCACAUACCACACACACGCCACACAUCACACACACCCCACACAACCACACACCACACACGACCACACACACACUACACCCCACACACACACCACACAUGCACCACACACCACACACGCACCACACGCACCACACACACCACACACGCACCACAUACCCCCCACCGCACACACCGCACACCACACACACACCACACACAUACACAUCACACACCACACAGACCACACACACCCACACACCACAGACACCACACACACCACACACCACACCCCACAUACACACCACACACAGACACCACACUCACCACACACACCACACACCCCACAUACACACCACACACACGCACCACACACCACAUACGCACCGCACCACACACCACCACACAACCACACAACACACACCACACAACCACACACACACCACAGACACACCACACACCCCAUAUACACACCACACACACGCCACACACCACACAACCAUACACACACCACACACCACACACACACUACACCCACACACCACACACAGACACCACACUCAGCACACACAAUACACACCACACACACACACCACACGCACCACACACACCACACGCACCACACACACUACACACAACCACACACCACACACACCCCACACACCACACCACAUGCACCACACACACCACACACGCACCACACACCCCACACACACCACACAGACCCCACACACCCACACCACACACACACAGACACACCACACCCACCCACACACCACACCCCACAUGCACACCACACACCACACGCAUGCCACACACCCCACACCACACACGCACCACACACCACACACACUACACACCACACACCACAGCACAUGCACACCACACACGCACCACACACCACACACCACACAUGCCACACACACACCACACACCGCAUACACAUCACACCACACACCAUACACAUCACACACCACACCACACACGCCACACAUGCGCCACACACACCACACACACACAAAUAUACACACCACACAAUAAUUCACACAAUAAUAAACAAUUCACACACAAUAAUCAAGUAUAUCACCAUACACAAUAA